UGUGUUUCCAUUUUUGCUUGUUUCAAGAAAAUUUUUAUUUUUACUUAUUUAUUUUUAAAGAUUUUAUUUUUAAGUGAUACCUGUACCCAAGGUGAAGCUGGAACUCACAAUCCAAAAUCAAGAGUCCUAUGCUGUACCACUGAGCCAGCCAGGUGCCCUGCACUCUCUGAUUUUUUAGGAUUCUCUCAAUGGUGUCCAGUUCUUGUUAUUCUUGGAGGGAGAGCAAAAGUCAGGAACAACCUAUGUCAUCAUCUUCGUGACAUCACUUCCCACCUCGUGUAUUUGAGGGAAGAAAGAAGUCUUUUGAUAAUCUUCUUAAGCACCUCAGAAAAAGACCAUUUCCUGUCAGGUAGGUCAACUUGUCUCCUUUCCUUGGAUGUACUUAUUUUCUGUGUUAUUUCUUGUAAAUGCUUAUUCCCAGAAACUUUCUAUUUUCUUCCCCCCUUACUGUUACCUGAAGUUAGCCAAGGGACUAUUAUGGUUGAUGUCAGUAUGUUUUUUGCUUUUCCUUUUAUAGUGGCUCACAUGUAUCUGUAGCAUCAUUCUCCU
RNAcentral lists this transfer RNA (549 nucleotides) under Mustela putorius furo (domestic ferret). RNAcentral's name for it is "lncRNA (ENSMPUG00000031716.1)". The record is from RNAcentral. Lineage: Eukaryota; Metazoa; Chordata; Mammalia; Carnivora; Mustelidae.